GCGAGAAUCUUCCGCAAUGGACGAAAGUCUGACGGAGCGACGCCGCGUGAUGGAUGAAGUCCCUCUGGGACGUAAACAUCUUUUAUGAGGGAGAAAGUUUAUUGAUAGUACCUCACGAAUAAGGGGUUGCUAAACUCGUGCCAGCAGCAGCGGUAAUACGAGUGCCCCGAGCGUUAUCCGGAAUCAUUGGGCGUAAAGGGUGUGUAGGUGGCAUUGUUAGUCACACGUUAAACCCUGGGGCUUAACCCCAGAUCUGCGUGUGAUACGGCAAAGCUAGAGGAUGGCAGGGAUGUAUGGAACUCAUGGAGUAGGGGUGAAAUCCGUUGAUAUCAUGGGGAACACCGAAAGCGAAGGCAGUACAUUGGGCCACUCCUGACACUGAAACACGAAAGCGUGGGUAGCGAAUGGGAUUAGAUACCCCAGUAGUCCCUGAGCGGGCUGGCAAGGCGCAU
RNAcentral lists this ribosomal RNA (452 nucleotides) under uncultured bacterium. RNAcentral's name for it is "bacterial SSU rRNA". It matches the Rfam family "Bacterial small subunit ribosomal RNA", at positions 355 to 825 of the family's 1533-position model. The record is from RNAcentral.